CUCCCCGGUCUUCUUCUUACUGUUCCUCCAAACGAGCUCGGAAGUCUCAUCUUCGAGGUCCUCAACCUCGAUAGGAGCAGAGGUCGAGGCCGGCUUAGCCCUCUUCUUGGGCACAGGGCAAGCUCCGCCGGCUUCGGCUGCCCUUUUCUUGUAUCUGACAAGGAGGGCCUCGUUACUGGUCACCAUUCCUCCAAUGUCUUAAAAGAAGAAAGGACUCAAGUAUCAGAUCGACCUAAAAAAAAAGGAGAGGAAAAAGAAUAAGAGAAAAUAAGUAAAACGAGGGACAACGAAAUAAGGGAGUGAAGGGUUCUAGCAUGCUAUAAUGGGCAGCGGAAGCUAGGAAUUUUAAAAAUUUCUUGAUAAAGUUCCUUAACAUAAAACCCUUAUAAGCCAAGAUCACCUUAAUGGAAGCAAUCAAAUAAUAUAAUAUAAAUGCAGCAAUAGAAGAAUACCUCUAACGCUAAUCCAAUGUGCAGAAUUUUCACUAGGUGCCCAAGUGUUCACCCUCCAACAUUGAUCCACACGAAAACUUAAUUUAAGUCUUAAGCCCCAAAGACUUUGAUCCUUAAUGCAGAAUUCUUCUAAAGAACUCUAAUGGCUU
This 601-nucleotide long non-coding RNA is filed under the name Phoenix dactylifera (date palm). RNAcentral's name for it is "long non-coding RNA (PDAC_LNC010057)". The record is from RNAcentral. Lineage: Eukaryota; Viridiplantae; Streptophyta; Magnoliopsida; Arecales; Arecaceae.